This 3055-nucleotide long non-coding RNA is filed under the name Coffea arabica (coffee). RNAcentral describes it as "long non-coding RNA (CARA_LNC003376)". The record is from RNAcentral. Lineage: Eukaryota; Viridiplantae; Streptophyta; Magnoliopsida; Gentianales; Rubiaceae.
UUUUUUUUUUUUUGGUUAAAGAAAAUGACAUCAAUAUGGUUAAAAUGUUGUACAAAACGAACAAUUGAAACAUCAUUGCACAUUGUUAUAAAUUCUGAAAAUAUAAACAAAAGAAAAAGACCCCAAAUAUACAUGGAUUUGUAAUUACCUGGAAUAUGUGCUUUGUUGAUAACAAUGCAGGAUAUGAGCGGCAGAGUUGCUCUGAUAUUUCCUAUUUUGUCAAUGCAACAAAGGGAAACAGGGGAGAAAGGUUUUUGCAUUGUUUUGCAGUUUGGGGAAUUUUUUGUUCUUUUUUUUCUAGGGUUCCCCUAACCAAUUGUUAAACAGCAAGGCCCGUUAUUUACUCUUUCCAAUUUUGAACGUGAGGUGAUGGUAAAUCCUAAAUUUUACACCGUUCUUUUUAUUAUUACUUUUUAUUUUAAUUAGAGCCACCUAAGAAAAAAAUUUUGGCUGCAGUAGUUCGAGAUUACAUGUGGAAGGUGUCACGCUGCGAGCCCGCACGCGCCCGUCGGGAGUGACAGAAGGUGUGUACCUUACAAUCUAAAUUAUACUAGUAUAUUCCCCUAAAUUAUUUCUCCGUCCACCUUUGAUGUUGUUACAUGUGGACUGGAAAUGGGGUUUCUAGUUUCAGUUCUAUCCAGUUGGAUUGAUUGAAAUUCGGCAUAAACUAAUGGAAGAGGGGCAAGAACGGUUUCUGACAGUUCACGGCCAAGAUUUGGUAAAAAAAAAAAAUUAUACGGUCCAGAUCUCAUCUUGUACCUCCUUUUUAACAACAUGUGUGGGAUCUACAAAAUUUUAUUCUAGAAUUACACAUUAUUGAAAAUAAGUUACACCAUUUACAAACAGAGUUACCUACAAAACCUUCUAGUGUUUUUCUUUUUAUUUUCUUAUUUUUUUUAUAAGAAGCAGUACCACGUAAACAGGUCCACCUAUAUACAUAAUUAGAUAGAUAUAUUUAUAUGUAACAUGUACAUACUAGUACACACAGACGAACGAGGACAAACACAAGUUGAUUCAGUUAGUAAAGACGGACCACUUUCUCAUAAAAGCUCAUGUGUUCAAAUUCUGUUAUAUGAACAAAAUUUCUCAUGUGCACUUGAUAUUACCGUGGGAAUUUCUCAUGUAUACUUGAACUUGAUGUUACUGGCGGAAUCAAAUCGACUUUAGCCAAUUCGGCUAUGGUUGAAUGGUUCGUAUUCAUCACAAAUCGUGUUUGGAAUUAUAGUAGGCAUUUUUGUACCUAAUCUGCUUCGGCUUCUGUUAAUAAGAGAUGCAGUUUGCUCCUAUAUAUGAUUAAUGCGUAAAAUUUGACUACUUUAAUUUCUGUCACAGAAAAGCCCAAAUGCUUCCACAAAGUUGAACAUAUAUUCUGGCCAGUUCAUCUCGAUGCAACUAUGUUCAUUGUUAAGGAUUAAGUCAGAAACAUUGUAGAAUUGGCAUCAAUCCAGUGAAGUGCUUGACCAUUAGAGACAAAAAUUGCCUGUGUGAAAAACGGGUUAAAUGUUUUUCUGUAAGAGGGACAUUUUGUGCAAAAAGUGGAAAAAGAUGAACUGAUAUAUCGUAAUCAAAAUGUAAAAGUACUAACAUCUAGAGUAUUAUAGCUCUUGAACCUCUUGUAGAGAGCAAAACUUUACACAAUGAAGAUUAGGAAUGACAACCUAAAAGCAGAAGCCCUGAAAAUCCAACAAUAGGCUGAUUUGAUGACUUUUCAAAGCAAAAUCACCAUGCUUUUGCUCAUUGCAAUUUUCCAAUGUCCUUUAAAAUUGGAAUUUUCCAUGCUAGAAAAGUCAGUAAAUUUACAGGAAAGUACAGAUAUAAUGAUGAUAACAACAAUUACAGCAACAUGAAAAACUACCUUCAAAUAAUGCACCGAGCAUUCAGCAGAUAACAGAGGUGGUCUCAGUCGGGGAUAGCAAGGAUUUUUGGUUAUCUCAAUCGCAUAUGCAUAAUCUAAGAAGCAAUUCCCAGAAAUCAGGAGAGACCACAUCAAUUCCAUGCAUAUAUCUCAAUAUAAAUCAAGAAACUGCAGUAAAGUGGUAAAUUAAAGAGUCUACAACAAAGCAUGCUCACGAAGUGAUAAUUCAGCAUAGGCCAGUAACAACAACUACUGCAUUUAAACUGCAUUCUGGCCCAGCCAUCUUCCAAGCCCCGUGGACAAUGAAAAAAAUGACAAGGGAAAGAGUUUGUCAAAGGCUCCCCACUCCAAUUUGCAAAUUAAAAAUACCUUAGGAUUUGAAGAUCUGACAUGCCCAGGAACAUUUUGCCAGCCAAAAAAGAAAUAAAUUCAGGGUUAGAAAGACUAACAAAUGCCUUAUAGAAUUCAAUAUCUGCUACUGCUAGGCAAGUUUGCAAUGAGACAUGUCAUCUUAUAGAACAGAUAGAUCUCAUCUUCCUAUGGAUAAAGCAAGAACAACUGUGGCGAAUAUUGAACUAAAAAUGAUACAUAUGGAACAGAUGGACCUUAUCUUUCCAUUGCAUAAAGCAAGAACAAACCGCAUACUUUGACUUGAAAAAAAAAAGAAAAGAAAAAAGGUCUGCUGUAUAUAAGUAUAUUGUCAUCCUUUAUCCAUUGCAAAAGCAGCCUUUUUAGUCGCAGUCCACACAUAUGGGGACAAUUUUUCAAAGUAAUCUUCAUUUCAAACGGAACAAAUGCUAGUUUUGCAAAUUUACUACCCUUUCCUUCAGUUAUACCUACUUCAGCGUAUAUGUUGCAAUAGUUUUUUCAAUUGUAAUAAAAGAGGGAGCCUAAAUUAUUAGCAUUCGUUGAAGGACAAAAAGUAUGUAAAUUGCUGACCAAAUAGACAGAAAUGGCGACCCAAGUUGAUACUAAAUGGCAAGUACAUAGGUAUAAUUAAAUGCAACUGUUAUUUGGAAACUACUACAGGAUGCUGAUUAAUGAAACAAUCUAGUAAAUUGAACUACCAAUAAAUUACAAUACACCAGUGAGCUCAACAAUUUGAACUACCAAUAACCAAAACUUUUCAAGGGAAACCACAUGGAAUGUAAACAUACAGGCAGAAAUGAUACAGCAGCAAAACAUGGAACCUCAUGUGUA